This is a long non-coding RNA of Bradysia coprophila, 603 nucleotides long. The record is from RefSeq and is a predicted model, not a curated record. Lineage: Eukaryota; Metazoa; Arthropoda; Insecta; Diptera; Sciaridae.
CGCACUUUACUCAUUUAGAGAUAUCAAUCGUUGAUUAAGACUUAUAAUUUAAUUUUAGUUUCAACUGCUAGUUCGUCGCAUUAACAUGGAUAAACAAUGGGAUUGGCUUAUGCGGGAAAUAGAAUCCAACGGCAUCUUUAAUUCGAUUGCAUCGGCAAUUAUUGGCCAGGCAUCAAGGACUGGCCAUAACACGGUUGCCGUCGUCGGAAAACUUGUAUCCAUUGUAAAAAAAAUAAGCAAUCGGAUCUCGAAACCACAAAAAAAAGAAAAAGUGGCAAUGGAAAAGGCCCACGCAGAAGAAAGAAAUAAUUUGCUGCAAGCUAUUUUCAAACUCAGCAACAGCACCGAAUCAGCUCGAGAGCAGGACCAACCAAACGAUUCUAAGACUAAUCUUGUAAAUUUUAAAAUCAGAUGGGACACCAUCUGUUGAGUCUCUCGCUGUUGCUAAAAGAACUAGAGCCAAAAGCCCGAAACACGAAAUUCCACGGAUGGUAGAUGCCCAGUGAUUUGACUUUGGAGGACGUUGACGAACCGAAAAGUGAGGUGUAUCCAGAAGUGGUAAAUUUCCGCCGCAUAAAUGCGAGAAAUAUCACUAUAUGGGCC